GCAAGAGGCUAUGUAGAAAAGAG
This 23-nucleotide non-coding RNA is filed under the name Cricetulus griseus (Chinese hamster). Lineage: Eukaryota; Metazoa; Chordata; Mammalia; Rodentia; Cricetidae. The record is from RNAcentral.